AAUAAAUCUCUGUGUAGUUAAUUCCUUCUUUCUGUUGAAAGCCUUUGACCACCAAUCUCGCCUUGUAUCGCUUUGAUCCGUCAUGUUCCUCCUUAACUCGAUAGACCCAUUUAUUGUGUAGGGCUUUCUUUUCUGCAGGUAACUCAACUAGCUCCCACGUUUGAUUAGAGAUAAGAGACGUUAUCUCAUCUUUCAUUGCAAGCUCCCACUUAAUUGCAUCCUCUCCCUGACAUGCCUCAUCAUAGCAUUCAGGUUCAUCGGCAUCAGUAAGUAAUAAAUAAUUUAUGUACUUUCUAUUUAGAACAUGUGGUCGGGAAGAUCUUCUAGGAAUAGGAGUUGGAGGUAAAGUCUCUGCAACAGCUUCCUCUGGCUGAGGAAUUUCAUCUGUCUGCUUUGACAUACUACUACUUGGAGUAUCAUCCAACUCAACAUAUAUUGGAUUAUCAUGUAUGUCACUGGACUGCACUGUAUCUCUAUCCUUGUAAUCACCCUUUCAUCGAAUAUGACAUCCCGACUUCUGAUGACCUUUUUGUUCUUAUCAUCCCAAAAGCGAUACCCGAACUCAUCUCUACCAUAUCCAAUGAAUGUACACUUUAGUGAUUUGGGAUCAAUCUUACCCCUAGCUUGAACACUAAUAUGUACAUAUGCGACACAACAAAAAACUUUCAAAUGAGAAAGUUUUAUUUCUUUUCCGCUCCAUACUUCCUCCGGUAUCCUGUACUCUAAAGGCACUGAUGGCCCGCGAUUGAUUAAGUAUGCUGCUAUGUUGAUAGCUUCGGCCCAAAAUUGUUUAGGCAAGCCAGCAUGUAACCGCAUGCUUCUGGCUCUCUCUGUCAACGUCUGGUUCAUUCGUUCGGCCACACCAUUUUGUUGCGGUGUUCCUGGCAACGUCCUUUCCAGUUUGAUACCACUCUGGUAACAAAACUUUUUGAAAUCAGUAUGUUCGUACUCUCCGCCAUUAUCUGAUCUCAAUUUCUUUUCUCGCAAACCUGUUUCAUUCUCCACCAUAGCUUUCCACUUCUUGAACAUCUCGAACACUUUGGAUUUGUGUCUCAAGAAGUAGACCCAUACUUUUCUGGAGUAAUCAUCAAUGAAAGUCACAAAAUAAGACUUUCUGCCAAUAGAUGGAACUGCAGCUGGUCCCCAGACAUCUGUGUGGACUAACUAUAGCUUUUCCUGCUUCGG
RNAcentral lists this long non-coding RNA (1185 nucleotides) under Olea europaea subsp. europaea. Lineage: Eukaryota; Viridiplantae; Streptophyta; Magnoliopsida; Lamiales; Oleaceae. The record is from RNAcentral.